CCAGCAGCCGCGGUAAUUCCUACGGGAGGCAGCAGUGGGGAAUUUUGGACAAUGGGCGCAAGCCUGAUCCAGCCAUGCCGCGUGAGUGAAGAAGGCCUUCGGGUUGUAAAGCUCUUUCAGUUGGGAAGAAACGAUUACAACUAAUAAUUGUAAUUAAUGACGGUACCGACAGAAGAAGCGCCGGCUAACUACGUGCCAGCAGCCGCGGUAAU
RNAcentral lists this ribosomal RNA (212 nucleotides) under uncultured bacterium. RNAcentral describes it as "partial 16S ribosomal RNA". It matches the Rfam family "Bacterial small subunit ribosomal RNA", at positions 320 to 524 of the family's 1533-position model. The record is from RNAcentral.